This 219-nucleotide ribosomal RNA is filed under the name uncultured bacterium. RNAcentral describes it as "partial 16S ribosomal RNA". It matches the Rfam family "Bacterial small subunit ribosomal RNA", at positions 524 to 740 of the family's 1533-position model. The record is from RNAcentral.
UACGUAGGGGGCAAGCGUUGUCCGGAUUUAUUGGGCGUAAAGAGCGUGUAGGCGGCCAUACAGGUCAGCUGUGAAAACUCGAGGCUCAACCUCGAGACGUCGGUUGAAACCGUAUGGCUAGAGUCCGGAAGAGGAGAGUGGAAUUCCCGGUGUAGCGGUGAAAUGACGCAGAUAUCGGGGAAGAACACCCGUGGCGAAGGCGGCUCUCUGGGACGGUAC